Molecule: long non-coding RNA, 942 nt
Organism: Homo sapiens (human)
Lineage: Eukaryota; Metazoa; Chordata; Mammalia; Primates; Hominidae
Gene: FLVCR1-DT
Product: FLVCR1 divergent transcript
Exons: 2
Source: RefSeq, marked validated
GAGAACUUCGGGAGGCGGGGGAGGAAAGCGGCCGGCGAGCGCUGGCUGACAUUUUCCUGCCCGGAAGGAUGCAUGGCCCGGGGUCUCCUGCACCUGAGGGUGGGCGGGAGGCGGCCCCGCGGGUUGUGUUGCUGGAAAAAGGGGUCUCGAUCCAGACCCCAAGAGAGGGUUCUUGGGUCUACUUCAGGGAAGAAUUGGAGGCGAGUCACAGAGCGCAGUGAAGGAAGCAAGUUUAUUGGAAUCUACUCCGUUAGAGAGUGCAAGUCCUCAGACUGCAGGAGGAGGAACUCCCGUCCUUCGGUAGUGUCACUACUUAGAGGCAGCUGUGAGGAGCUGUGAUUAAUCGUGGAAUGUGCUGAUGUGCCCACUAAAGAUGCCUGGUAAGCAGUGGCUCCUCUAACAAGUGGGCAGCUUGGAACUGGGAACGAGAGAGCCACCGAAACAGAAUGAGGGAGACAAAGAAGUGGGCAUCACCCUUAACUCCACAAGGGCUUCCCAAGGGCGCUGUACCGUACGCAGGCCCAGGACGAACUUUAUUUCUCGCCCCAGCAUCGCUGUCCUUGUCGGUGAGACCCUGGCUUUAGGGCAGACAGGACCACGUUUCAUAAGUUCAUGCUGUCCCAGCAGAGGAAUAACGCCAGAAAGUGUUCCAGUACAACCAGAGAAAGAGAGUCCAUGAGAAAUCUGCCCUUGUGAAGUUGGAAUCCCCUCAACCUCACCCCGCUGACUUGAAUGAAGCGACUGAGACGGGCUAUGAUGGAGCAGAUCCGGUUGCUCGACCUUCUCCCUUGCACCAACACAUGUAGUUAAUAGUUACUGGACAUGCAUAUUCAGUGGGUUCCAGGUACCAAACUUGUAUUGAAUGGUAUGUGCCAGACACCGUCUUGAGAUCUGGAGAAUAAAAAAAUAAAAAAAUAAAAACGAGACAUCCAGAGCACAGUA